RNAcentral lists this ribosomal RNA (263 nucleotides) under uncultured Actinomycetales bacterium. Its description in RNAcentral is "partial 16S ribosomal RNA". It matches the Rfam family "Bacterial small subunit ribosomal RNA", at positions 524 to 786 of the family's 1533-position model. The record is from RNAcentral. Lineage: Bacteria; Bacillati; Actinomycetota; Actinomycetes; Actinomycetales.
UACGUAGGGCGCAAGCGUUAUCCGGAAUUAUUGGGCGUAAAGAGCUCGUAGGCGGUUUGUCGCGUCUGCCGUGAAAGUCCGGGGCUUAACCCCGGAUCUGCGGUGGGUACGGGCAGACUUGAGUGAUGUAGGGGAGACUGGAAUUCCUGGUGUAGCGGUGAAAUGCGCAGAUAUCAGGAGGAACACCGAUGGCGAAGGCAGGUCUCUGGGCAUUAACUGACGCUGAGGAGCGAAAGCAUGGGGAGCGAACAGGAUUAGAUACC